Molecule: ribosomal RNA, 460 nt
Filed under: uncultured bacterium
Lineage: Bacteria
Description: partial 16S ribosomal RNA
Rfam family: Bacterial small subunit ribosomal RNA
Source: RNAcentral
CCUACGGGUGGCAGCAGUGAGGAAUAUUGGUCAAUGGACGAGAGUCUGAACCAGCCAAGUAGCGUGAAGGAUGACUGCCCUAUGGGUUGUAAACUUCUUUUAUAAAGGAAUAAAACGAGGCACGUGUGCCUUUUUGCAUGUACUUUAUGAAUAAGGAUCGGCUAACUCCGUGCCAGCAGCCGCGGUAAUACGGAGGAUCCGAGCGUUAUCCGGAUUUAUUGGGUUUAAAGGGAGCGUAGAUGGGUUGUUAAGUCAGUUGUGAAAGUUUGCGGUUCAACCGUAAAAUUGCAAUUGAUACUGGCAGUCGUGAGUACAGUUGAGGUAGGCGGAAUUCGUGGUGUAGCGGUGAAAUGCUUAGAUAUCACGAAGAACCCCGAUUGCGAAGGCAGCUUACUAAACUGUGACUGACAUUGAUGCUCGAAAGUGUGGGUAUCAAACAGGAUUAGAUACCCCGGUAGUC